CCAUCCUUAUGCCUUUCAGAGCGUCGGGGACAGUGCUGCUAGCUCUGUAUCUGCACCUAGAGCUUGUCUGAAAUGCAGAGUCAUGCUGAGGAUGGAGGUCAGCGGUAGAGCACUUGCUCGGCAUGCACAAGCCCUGGGUUCAGCUUUCAGCAUCAAAGCGGGCGGCAGGGUACAGAACCUAAAUUCCACCCAGAGACUACAAGCCUCUCCCUAGAUUCUAGAGGACCGUCCACAGCUACUGACAUUCCUUUCUGCUCCAGAUGGCUAAGGUCCCCGAGCAGUGCAUGUGACAGUGGCUACUGUCUGUCUUUCACUUUCAUCUUCUUGCCAAGACUUUUCCCUCAACAUCUGAAGUUGCUCAAGAUCCUCCCAGGCCAACUUUACAGAUACACUGUAUUCGGCCUUCAAAACCGCCCUGUCCUUCAGGCAACUUUGCCACGAUGCAAAUGGCAUUUUGCCUGCAUGCGUGUCUGUGUGAUGGUGUUGAAUCCCCCGGAACUGUUACCACAGACAGUUGUGAGCUGCCAUGUGGUGCUGGAAAUUGAACCUGAAUCCUCUGGAAGAACAGCCAGGGCUCUUAACUACUGAGCCAUCUCUCCAGCCCCCACUCAUAUUAUUAAACUAUACUAUUCACAA
Molecule: long non-coding RNA, 636 nt
Organism: Arvicola amphibius (Eurasian water vole)
Lineage: Eukaryota; Metazoa; Chordata; Mammalia; Rodentia; Cricetidae
Exons: 3
Source: RefSeq, a predicted model, not a curated record